RNAcentral lists this ribosomal RNA (497 nucleotides) under uncultured bacterium. RNAcentral describes it as "partial 16S ribosomal RNA". It matches the Rfam family "Bacterial small subunit ribosomal RNA", at positions 28 to 507 of the family's 1533-position model. The record is from RNAcentral.
GAUGAACGCUGGCGGCGUGCCUAAUACAUGCAAGUCGAGCGAACAGACGAGAAGCUUGCUCUUCUGACGUUAGCGGCGGGCGGGCGGGUAACACGUGCAUAACCUACCUCUUAUUCUGGGAUGACUUCGUGAAACAGGAGACACUAAUACAUCAUAUAUUGAACCACUUGGAUCAAUAGUUAAAGAGGGCUUUGCUGUUUGUAUUAGCCGGUUUCGCGUCGGAUUAGCUAGUUGGUAAGGUAACGGCAUACCAAGGCAACGAUCCGUAGCCGACCUGAGAGGAUGAUCGGCCACACUGGAACUGAGACACGGUCCAGACUCCUACGGGAGGCAGCAGUAGGGAAUCUUGGACAAUGGGCGAAAGCCUGACGGAGCAACGCCGCGUGAGUGAUGAAGGUCUUCGGGUCGUAAAACUCUGUUAUUAGAGAAGAACAAAAGUGUAAGUAACUAUGCACGUCUUGACGGUACCUAAUGAGAAAGCCACGGCUAACUACGUG